Molecule: ribosomal RNA, 519 nt
Filed under: Cimex hemipterus
Lineage: Eukaryota; Metazoa; Arthropoda; Insecta; Hemiptera; Cimicidae
Description: partial 16S ribosomal RNA
Rfam family: Bacterial large subunit ribosomal RNA
Source: RNAcentral
UCUUUUUGUUUUUAUUUAAAGUCAGACCUGCCCAAUGAAUUUUAAAUGGCCGCAGUACUUUAACUGUGCAAAGGUAGCAUAAUAAUUUGUUUUUUAAUUGGAAACUUGUAUGAAUGGUCAUACGAGGGAUUGACUUUCUUUAUCUUAUAUUAAUUAAUUUUAUUUCUCUGUGAAAAAGCAGAGAUGUAUUUAUUAGACGAUAAGACCCUUUAAAACUUUAUUUAUUAUAAAAGCAUGAGUUUUUAGUUGUUUUUUUGUGCUAUUUUUAGUGAAUUUUGUUGGGGCGACAGGUAAAUUUAUUGAACUUUACUUUUUUAUAUCACAAAUUAGUGUUUGUUUGAUCCAGGUUUAUAUUCUGAUUAAAAGCUUAAGUUACUUAAGGGAUAACAGCGUAAUCUUGCCGGAGAGUUCUUAUUUAUGGCAAGGUUUGCGACCUCGAUGUUGGAUUAAAAUUAAUGUUAGGUGUAGCCGCUUAAUGAUUAGGUCUGUUCGACCUUUAGUUUUUUACGUGAUCUGAGU